UCAGGUCAAGAGUGACUACAUGUUGGGGGUAGCUGAUCGAGUCGACCAAGACAUUGCACUUAAAUUGGGCUGCCUUGAAAUCAGGAGAUUUUUUAGGGAAAUGCGAGGAAAUGCCCUGGAUAAGAAAUCAAAUUAUGAAUUACUAGAAAAAGAUGUGGGUUUACGAAGAUUCUUCCCCAAGAGUUUGCUGGACUCUGUGAAGGUAAGAAGACCUUCUUUGCUCUGUUUCCCCAUCCUGGGGGUUCUAACAUAGGCCUCUGCAAAUAGGGAGAUGCCAUUGUUCAGAUUGAAACAGUGUCAUCACCUGGCUGGCUGGCUGGCUGCUCCU
Long non-coding RNA from Oncorhynchus keta (chum salmon), 328 nucleotides. RefSeq lists it as uncharacterized. The transcript is spliced from 3 exons. The record is from RefSeq and is a predicted model, not a curated record. NCBI's taxonomy places the organism in Eukaryota, Metazoa, Chordata, Actinopteri, Salmoniformes, Salmonidae.